AGAGAGAGAUGGGCAACAUGGACUACAAACUGGGACAGGUAGGAUGGAGAGAGAGAUGGACUACAAACUGGGACAGGUAGGAUGGAGAGAGAGAUGGACUACAAACUGGGACAGGUAGGAUGGAGAGAGAGAUGGACUACAAACGGGGACAGGUAGGAUGGAGAGAGAGAUGGACUACAAACGGGGACAGGUAGGAUGGAGAGAGAGAUGGACUACAAACUGGGACAGGUAGGAUGGAGAGAGAGAUGGACUACAAACUGGGACAGGUAGGAUGGAGAGAGAGAUGGACUACAAACUGGGACAGGUAGGAUGGAGAGAGAGCUGGACUACAAACUGGGACAGGUAGGAUGGAAGGAGAGAGAGAUGGGGAACAUGGACUACAAACUGGGACAGGUAGGAUGGAGGGAUGGAAGGAGAGAGAGAUGGACUACAAACUGCGACAGGUAGGAUGGAGGGAGAGAGAUGGGACACAUGGGCUACAAACUGGGACUGGAGGGAUGGAAGGAGAGAGAGAUGGACUACAAACUGGGACAGGUAGGAUGGAGGGAGAGAGAGAUGGGACACAUGGACUACAAACUGGGACAGGUAGGAUGGAAGGAGAGAGAGAUGGGGAACAUGGACUACAAACUGGGACAGGUAGGAUGGAGGGAUGGAAGGAGAGAGGGGCGGAGGAAAGGGAAGACAGACCAAAUGGCAUAGUUGUGUCCUUCUCUUGCAGAUAUGUUCAGUCUCUCUCUCUCUCAUAAUUCCUCUCCUUUAUUGUCUUUCUCUCUAAUUCCUCUCCUUUAUUGUCUCUCUCUCUCUAAUUCCUCUCCUUUAUUGUCUCUCUCUCUCUAAUUCCUCUCCUUUAUUGUCUCUCUCUCUCUAAUUCCUCUCCUUUAUUGUCUCUCUCUCUCUAAUUCCUCUCCUUUAUUGUCUCUCUCUCUCUCUCUCUAAUUCCACUCUUUGUCUCUCUCUCCAUCAGGUGUCCAUCCAUUCUGUGUGGCUGGGGAACAACAUUACCCCUCUGAGAGAGGAAGAGUGGGGUGAGGAUGAGGAAGAUGAGACUGAUACUCCGGCCCCCGCCUCUCUUCCUACCUCUCCGAUCAACUCCAGGAAGCAUCGUGCAGGUGUAGACAUCCACUCCUGUUCUCAGUUCCUAUUGGAGCUCUACAGCCAGUGGCUCCUCCCCGGUUCCCCUAGCAACAGACGCACCCCUGUUGUGCUCAUCAGCGAGGUUGUCCGAUCGUUGUUGGCGGUCUCUGACCUGUUCACGGAGCGUAACCAGUUUGACAUGAUGUUCACCACCCUGAUGGAGCUGCAGAAGAGUCAUCCUGCUGAAGAUGAGAUAAUGAACCAGUACCUGGUACCAGCUCUCUGCAAGGCUGCCGCUGUCCUGGGCAUG
Oncorhynchus tshawytscha (Chinook salmon) is the source of this 1384-nucleotide long non-coding RNA. The record is from Ensembl. Lineage: Eukaryota; Metazoa; Chordata; Actinopteri; Salmoniformes; Salmonidae.